RNAcentral lists this ribosomal RNA (163 nucleotides) under Terminalia catappa (Indian almond). RNAcentral describes it as "partial 5.8S ribosomal RNA". The record is from RNAcentral. Lineage: Eukaryota; Viridiplantae; Streptophyta; Magnoliopsida; Myrtales; Combretaceae.
CUAGUCCGCGGUUGGCCUAAAAACAAGUCUCGGGGCGACGAAUGUCACGACGAGUGGUGGAUGUGAUAGCGUUGCGUCACGUCGUGUGCACGUCUUGAGCCCCCGGGUUGUUUUAUUUUUGACCCUAAAGCGCACCGUUUUCACGGAGCCUCGGUUGCGACCC